RNAcentral lists this ribosomal RNA (388 nucleotides) under uncultured Lactococcus sp. RNAcentral describes it as "bacterial SSU rRNA". It matches the Rfam family "Bacterial small subunit ribosomal RNA", at positions 730 to 1087 of the family's 1533-position model. Lineage: Bacteria; Bacillati; Bacillota; Bacilli; Lactobacillales; Streptococcaceae. The record is from RNAcentral.
UGGUCUGUAACUGACGCUGAGGCUCGAAAGCAUGGGUAGCGAACAGGAUUAGAUACCCUGGUACGUCCAUGACCGUAAACGAUGAAUGCUAGGUGUGGUAGGGUUUCCGCCCUUCAGUCGCCGCAGACUAACGCAAUUAAGCACUUCCGCCGUGGGGAGUACGACCGACGUAAGGUUAGAAACUACGAAAGGUAAUUGGACCGGGGGCCCGCAACAAGGCGGUGGAGCAUGGUUAGGUUUAAUUACGAAGACAACGACGAACGUAACCUUACCGAGGUUCUUGACAUUCUUUGAUCACCUGAGAGAUCGUACGUUUCCCGUCGGGGACAAAAUGACAGGUGGUGCAUGGUUGUCGUCAGCUCGUGUCGUGAGAUGUUGGGUUAAGUCC